AAGGGGACUGCCAGCGACAAGUUGGAGGAAGGAGAGGAUGACGUCAAGUCAUCAUGGCCUUUAUGCCUAGGGCCACACACGUGCAACAAUGGCCGGUACAGACGGAGGCAAUGCCGAGAGGCGGAGCAAACCCGAGAAAACCGGUCCCAGUUCGGAUUGAGGUCUGCAACUCGACCUCAUGAAGUCGGAAUCGCUAGUAAUCGCAUAUCAGAACGAUGCGGUGAAUACGUUCCCGGGCCUUGUACACACCGCCCGUCACACCACGAAAGUUUGUUGUACCCGAAGUCGGUGCCUUAACCUCGCAAGAGGAGAGAGCCGCCCAAGGUAUGGCCGAUGAUUGGGGUGAAGUCGUAACAAGGUAGCCGUAGGGGAACCUGCGGCUGGAUCACC
RNAcentral lists this ribosomal RNA (390 nucleotides) under uncultured bacterium. RNAcentral's name for it is "bacterial SSU rRNA". It matches the Rfam family "Bacterial small subunit ribosomal RNA", at positions 1142 to 1527 of the family's 1533-position model. The record is from RNAcentral.